Molecule: long non-coding RNA, 470 nt
Filed under: Mytilus galloprovincialis (Mediterranean mussel)
Lineage: Eukaryota; Metazoa; Mollusca; Bivalvia; Mytilida; Mytilidae
Source: RNAcentral
UGAUCUGUCAAAUUAAUUACCGCGACGACAUUUUUUAAAUAAGACAUAACUAUUUAAUGAUUUUGAUACAAAUUUAUAUCAAAUCUAUCAAAAUUGAAAAAAAAUGUUCGGUUAACCGGUUAGCGUUUUUGGUAUUCGGUAUUUGGUCGUCGUUAACAGGUUAACCAGAUAGCAUUUUUAGUAUUCGGUAUUUGGUCGUUCACCCGUUAACUGUUGACAACACUACUAUAAAGUUAUGGCUUGAUGUUUAUUAUAACUGUACUACUUGUUAAGUUUAUUCUGUUUAAAUGCUACCAUUUAUACUCAAUACAAAAGUGCUUAUAACUAGAUUUUAAAUCGUAAAUUGUUUGAAAGGUUCAAAGGUUGAAUCCCACAUUUAUGGUAUGUAUGAUAUUCAUUAGACUAAGACUUUUAUCGCUGUAUAUUAUUGUGCAAUAAUUUAUCACUAUGAUGUUACCUGUUGAGAAUUA